Molecule: small nucleolar RNA, 109 nt
Organism: Pyrus x bretschneideri (Chinese white pear)
Lineage: Eukaryota; Viridiplantae; Streptophyta; Magnoliopsida; Rosales; Rosaceae
Source: RefSeq, a predicted model, not a curated record
AUACUAGAAUGUGGACAUUUUCUAAUCUACUCCUUGAACUGUUCCCACACCUCAUGAAACUUUUCAUUUGGUUUUUGGGCAAAAGAUAGAAUCUGCUCAUGUUAAGAGU